Molecule: ribosomal RNA, 837 nt
Filed under: uncultured archaeon
Lineage: Archaea
Description: bacterial SSU rRNA
Rfam family: Archaeal small subunit ribosomal RNA
Source: RNAcentral
GGUUACUGCUAUCGGUGUUCGCCUAAGCCAUGCGAGUCAUAUGUUCGUAAGAACAUGGCGUACUGCUCAGUAACACGUGGAUAACCUGCCCUUGGGUCCGGCAUAACCCCGGGAAACUGGGGAUAAUUCCGGAUAACGCACAUAUGCUGGAAUGCUUUUUGCGUAAAAUGGAUUCGUCUGCCCAAGGAUGGGUCUGCGGCCUAUCAGGUAGUAGUGGGUGUAAUGUACCUACUAGCCUACGACGGGUACAGGUUGUGAGAGCAAGAGCCCGGAGAUGGAUUCUGAGACAUGAAUCCAGGCCCUACGGGGCGCAGCAGGCGCGAAAACUUUACAAUGCGGGAAACCGUGAUAAGGGGACACCGAGUGCCAGCAUCCUAUGCUGGCUGUCCGGGUGUGUAAAAUACACCUGUUAGCAAGGGCCGGGCAAGACCGGUGCCAGCCGCCGCGGUAACACCGGCGGCCCGAGUGGUGAUCGUGAUUAUUGGGUCUAAAGGGUCCGUAGCCGGUUUGGUCAGUCCUCCGGGAAAUCUGACAGCUCAACUGUUAGGCUAUCGGAGGAUACUGCCAGACUUGGAACCGGGAGAGGUAAGAGGUACUACAGGGGUAGGAGUGAAAUCUUGUAAUCCCUGUGGGACCACCUGUGGCGAAGGCGUCUUACCAGAACGGGUUCGACGGUGAGGGACGAAAGCUGGGGGCACGAACCGGAUUAGAUACCCGGGUAGUCCCAGCCGUAAACGAUGCUCGCUAGGUGUCAGGCAUGGCGCGACCGUGUCUGGUGCCGCAGGGAAGCCGUGAAGCGAGCCACCUGGGAAGUACGGCCGCAAGGCUGAAACUUAA